UACGGAGGGGGCUAGCGUUGUUCGGAAUUACUGGGCGUAAAGCGCACGUAGGCGGAUCAGUCAGUUAGGGGUGAAAGCCCAGGGCUCAACCCUGGAACUGCCUUUAAUACUGCUGGUCUGGAGGUCGAGAGAGGUGAGUGGAAUUCCGAGUGCAGAGGUGAAAUUCGUAGAUAUUCGGAGGAACACCAGUGGCGAAGGCGGCUCACUGGCUCGAUACUGACGCUGAGGUGCGAAAGCGUGGGGAGCAAACAGG
Molecule: ribosomal RNA, 253 nt
Filed under: uncultured bacterium
Lineage: Bacteria
Description: partial 16S ribosomal RNA
Rfam family: Bacterial small subunit ribosomal RNA
Source: RNAcentral